RNAcentral lists this long non-coding RNA (1321 nucleotides) under Scophthalmus maximus (turbot). RNAcentral's name for it is "lncRNA (ENSSMAG00000032950.1)". Lineage: Eukaryota; Metazoa; Chordata; Actinopteri; Pleuronectiformes; Scophthalmidae. The record is from RNAcentral.
AUUGCCACAGCAACAACUCUUGAAGAGGCAAGAGAGGCAGUCAGUGACGCAUCAGAGGAACUGUCCCUGAUGGGUUCUCUGCGCUUCCUCAAAACUCUAGAGGAGAGGGAUGAACUGGUGACCGCUGUCCUGGGGUUCUACACUGAGGGUCGAGUCCAUGCUCCCCUUCAGCAGUUCAGAGAGGGCCUCAGCGUCUUCGGUGCUCUGGCUGCAAUGGAGGAGCACUGUGAUGUCCUGGCACCAGUCUUCCUGGCAGACCAGAAAGCGCUGUGUGCCUCAGAUCUGGUUACACUGUUUGUAACACGCAGCUUCUCACUGGCUGGAUCCAACAGGAAAAGAGCGGAGCUAAAAACCAUCGCCUAUUGGAGAGACUGGCUCCUGCAGGUGGAGGGUAAGAAAGUGCCUAAUGAAAAAUGAUUUAUACUUGUAUAGAGGUUAAGCUUUACUGUUUACUGAAAGAAAAGUGUAUUAGCUAACAUCAACAUCUUACAUUAACUUGUAACAUUCUCUUGUGUGACACACAACAUCAUGAGUGACGGGCAGAGGAAACAUCAAAGUUAAGAAAUGGUAUGGUCCACAUUAGGGAUUUAAUGAAGCCAUUUUACAAGAUUCUUCCAGGCUAUAUUUAAAUGUUUUGACACCCCUUGCCCUGUAUUUUUAACCUUUUUGGGGUGACAGCCUUAAUUGGGGGUCAGACAUUCCAAAUAGCAUACUGUUGAAGUAAAUAAUAAUUCAGCAUUUAUACAGUCACAAACAGUGGCACUGGGCACUGUUUAGAGGUAGCUCUCUAAUAUAUGUUGUAGUUGUUUCGACCAAUACCAUAACCAUAACAACAGUACUCUGAAAAAUUCCAACACCAGUUCUCAGCUAACGACUCUGGUUCUUUCUGGAAGGAGCUCAGACAGAUUACAAACUACAAACCUAAACCCUCCCACUCCGUCAAUGACCUGCGGCUUGCAAAUUAACUGAACGAGUUCUACUGUUGCUUUGAGAGACAAAGGGACAGCCCUGACACCAUCCCCCGCGACACCCUUUCCCAUCUCAACAACACCCCCAGCUCAGCAGGAAACGGGGCCUCUCCCCUUCACACCUCUGGGUCCCCCCUCCUCUACCACAGUGACGACUCUCUGCCUGCAGGAGAGGGACGUCCACAAGCUAUUCAAAAGACAGAACCCCGCAAAGCAGCUGGACCAGACUCUGUCUAUCCAUCCACCCUGAAGCAGUGCGCUGACCAGCUGUCUCCAGUGUUCACAGACAUCUUCAACACCUCACUGAAGAACGUCAUGUGCUUCAAAGUCUCCACCAUCAUCCCCGUCCCCAU